AGCAGCCGCGGUAAUUCCAGCUCCAAUAGCGUAUAUUAAAGUUGUUGCAGUUAAAAAGCUCGUAGUUGAAUUUCGGAAUCUGUCCGUCGGUCGGGCUUCACUGUCCGUACUGGCGUGAUGGGUUUCUACCUUCUGAAUAACCGGCAUGUCAUUAAUUUGGUGCGUCGGGGAAGCAGAACUAUUACCUUGAAAAAAUUAGAGUGCUUAAAGCAGGCUAUCGCCUGAAUAGAUUAGCAUGGAAUAAUAAAAUAGGACGGCAUGGUUCUAUUUUGUUGGUUUCUAGGAUCACCGUAAUGAUUAAUAGGGAUAGUUGGGGGCAUUAGUAUUCAAUUGUCAGAGGUGAAAUUCUUGGAUUUAUUGAAGACUAACUACUGCGAAAGCAUUUGCCAAGGAUGUUUUCAUUAAUCAAGAACGAAAGUUAGGGGAUCGAAGACGAUCAGAUACCGUCGUAGUCUUAACCAUAAACUAUGCCGACUAGGGAUCGGAUGAUGUUAAUUUUUAAUGACUCAUUCGGCGUCCG
Molecule: ribosomal RNA, 520 nt
Filed under: uncultured Acaulospora
Lineage: Eukaryota; Fungi; Glomeromycota; Glomeromycetes; Diversisporales; Acaulosporaceae
Description: SSU rRNA
Rfam family: Eukaryotic small subunit ribosomal RNA
Source: RNAcentral